ACGUAGGGGGCAAGCGUUAUCCGGAUUUACUGGGUGUAAAGGGAGCGUAGACGGAGCAGCAAGUCUGAUGUGAAAACCCGGGGCUCAACUCCGGGACUGCAUUGGAAACUGUUGAUCUGGAGUGCCGGAGAGGUAAGCGGAAUUCCUAGUGUAGCGGUGAAAUGCGUAGAUAUUAGGAGGAACACCAGUGGCGAAGGCGGCUUACUGGACGGUAACUGACGUUGAGGCUCGAAAGCGUGGGGAGCAAACAG
This 251-nucleotide ribosomal RNA is filed under the name uncultured bacterium. Its description in RNAcentral is "partial 16S ribosomal RNA". It matches the Rfam family "Bacterial small subunit ribosomal RNA", at positions 525 to 775 of the family's 1533-position model. The record is from RNAcentral.